This is an RNA transcript of Solanum dulcamara, 1449 nucleotides long. It is a transcript of the gene named 60S ribosomal protein L8-like, with no coding region annotated. NCBI's taxonomy places the organism in Eukaryota, Viridiplantae, Streptophyta, Magnoliopsida, Solanales, Solanaceae. The transcript has 4 exons. The record is from RefSeq and is a predicted model, not a curated record.
AUGCCUCUACAAAGAGCUCUAUUGAAAAAGAAUGCUGAAGAGGCGAAACAAUCUCGACAAAAUGAUCAUCUAGCUGAGCAAGUCUCUCAUGCAGAAUUUCGAGCGGCUUUCCAAGUGUAUGCCCAAAAUAUGGUGCCACAAGACAACCGUGAGGUGGACGAGGAUCUACAAGAUAUCAUAGAGGGUAUUCAUAAGAUUGUCGAUAUCAUGAGAGUUAAUCUAGUAGAGAAGGCAGGCUUAUCCACUUACCAAUUAAAGGGUAUGACACAAAUUUUGUUUGGUCAAUGGAAAGGUGGAAGUACAAGGGAUGCGGUUGUUUCAAAUUUGGUGGUCAAAUUAUGUAUAACUGCCAUGUUGAUCAAAGAAAUGGAUAUAUCGAGUUUGAUGACUCACGCCAAGCAAAUUGAGGAGGAAAAGUUAAAGGAAAAGGCUAAAGAGUCCAAGAGGGAUCAAUGGAUAGUGGUGGAUACUUUUAUUCGAGGUCAUGUGAGAGAGAGCACCAAAAUAGGUCAUGUAAUCAGAGCACAAUAUAAGGGAGUAGGUUCUAUAUUCAAAUCUCACACUCAUCACCGCAAGGGUCCUGCAAGGUUUCGUUCGCUUGAUUUUGGUGAAUGUAAUAGUUACCUCAAAGGUGUUGUUACAGACAUCAUUCAUGAUCCAGGUAGGGGUGCGCCAUUAGCACGUAUGACAUUCCAUUAUUCGUUUUGUUACAAGCAUCAAAAAGAAUUAUUCGUUGCUGCAGAAGGGAUAUAUACUGGUCAGUUUAUUUACUAUGGGAAAAAGAUAAUCUUAUGGUUGGUAAUGUCCUUGCACUCAUAUCUAUACCUAAAGGUACUGUGGUUUGUAACGUUGAGCAUAAAGUUGGUGACCGUGGUGUUUUUGCUAGAUGCUCUGGUGAUUAUGCUAUUGUUAUUAGUCACAACGCCGAUAACUUAACAACUAGGAUUAAGCUUCCAUCUGGAUCCAAGAAGAUUGUGCCCAGUGGAUGUCAAGCCAUGAUUGGUCAGGUUGCUGGUAGAGGAAGAACUGAGAAACCAAUGCUUAAAGGUGGUCAUGCAUACCACAAGUACCGGGUAAAGAGAAACUGCUGGCCAAAGGUUCGUGGUAUUGCUAUGAAUCUUAUGGAGCAUCCUCAUGGUGAUGGUAACCAUCAACAUAUUGGUCAUGCCAGUACUGUCCAUCGGGAUGCACCACCUGGUCAAAAAGUUGGUCUUAUUGCAGCAAGGAGGACUGGUCGUCUUCAUGGUCAAGCUGCUGCUACUGCUUCCAAAGCUGACAAGGCCUAAGAUAUUAGUUUUGUUACUAUUUUCCUUCUUGUUGUGUUUGGAUUUUGAGUAUUCAGCUACAAUAAUCUUUAUACUAAGUUUUGUUGGGAUCUUAUUUAGAAGUUUUAUUAAGGGACCCUUGCUUAAACAAAUUUGCCAUUUAUAAUGUGUUUAGCUUGGCUCU